RNAcentral lists this ribosomal RNA (458 nucleotides) under uncultured Sphaerochaeta sp. RNAcentral's name for it is "partial 16S ribosomal RNA". It matches the Rfam family "Bacterial small subunit ribosomal RNA", at positions 341 to 792 of the family's 1533-position model. The record is from RNAcentral. Lineage: Bacteria; Pseudomonadati; Spirochaetota; Spirochaetia; Spirochaetales; Sphaerochaetaceae.
ACGGGAGGCAGCAGCUAAGAAUCUUCCGCAAUGGUCGAAAGACUGACGGAGCGACGCCGCGUGAAUGAUGAAGGCCGUGAGGUUGUAAAGUUCUUUUCUGGAGGGAGAAUAAGGUAGGUAGGGAAUGACUUACUGAUGACGUGAAUCCAGGAAUAAGCCCCGGCUAACUACGUGCCAGCAGCCGCGGUAACACGUAGGGGGCGAGCGUUGUUCGGAAUUAUUGGGCGUAAAGGGCGCGCAGGCGGCUUGUCAAGUCUGCUGUUAAAUGGUUGAGCUUAACUCAAUCAUGCGGUGGAAACUAAUGAGCUAGAGUUAAUGAGGGGAUGUUGGAAUUCCAGGUGUAGGGGUGAAAUCUGUAGAUAUCUGGAAGAACACCAGUGGCGAAGGCAGACAUCUAGCAACUAACUGACGCUGAGGCGCGAAGGUGCGGGGAGCAAACAGGAUUAGAUACCCUGGUA